UGCCGGGUCGUCUAACAGCAGGACGGCGGUCUCUGAAACCGCAGAUGCACGUGCGAGUCGUGCCCCGACAGCCA
This 74-nucleotide transfer RNA is filed under the name Lacunisphaera sp. RNAcentral's name for it is "tRNA-Gln". It matches the Rfam family "tRNA". Rfam says of the family: Transfer RNA (tRNA) molecules are approximately 80 nucleotides in length. The record is from RNAcentral. Lineage: Bacteria; Pseudomonadati; Verrucomicrobiota; Opitutia; Opitutales; Opitutaceae.